Molecule: long non-coding RNA, 204 nt
Filed under: Elaeis guineensis (African oil palm)
Lineage: Eukaryota; Viridiplantae; Streptophyta; Magnoliopsida; Arecales; Arecaceae
Description: long non-coding RNA (EGUI_LNC019470)
Source: RNAcentral
AGUAUCGAACAGGAUUAUCCAGGCAUCCCCUUGCCGCCUUGUGCGGGGCUUUUUCUGGGCAUUGCUGCUGAGAUGGGAUAUAUAUAAUCUGGUAUGAUAUAAACCGAUGGGACUUGAUGAAGGCUGCAUGCUUUUGUUUAGGAAUGAAAAUGGCAUCAUGGAAGAUGCAGGCUGUGGAGUUAUCCAACAGUAACAAAUCAGGGG